UCAGGCCAGGGCUUUAUAAAGCUGCGCACAAGCGACCAGGGAGCUUAGCGAACAGGAGCUGCUAACAGGGAGUUUUGCAAGGGAGUUCUCCAGGUGAAGGAGGAGCACAGACAGCAUCUGUGGGGUAAGUGACUGUCUGCAGUGUUUGGGUUUGUGUGUGUGUUUGGGGGUUACUUGCUGUGUGCUGAGCUUGUGUUUGUCAGUCUGUUUGGUCUGUUUGUUUGAAGGACCGUGUGCUGUAGCUGGCAGUUGGAGGUGGAGCUACUAGGAAGGUUUGAAAGCUAGAAGCCUCUGGUAAUUGGCUGAGCCUUAACCAGUGGGCGGGGCAUUCACUCAGGCCAGGGCUUUAUAAAGCUGCGCACAAGCGACCAGGGAGCUUAGCGAACAGGAGCUGCUAACAGGGAGUUUUGCAAGGGAGUUCUCCAGGUGAAGGAGGAGCACAGACAGCAUCUGUGGGGUAAGUGACUGUCUGCAGUGUUUGGGUUUGUGUGUGUGUUUGGGGGUUACUUGCUGUGUGCUGAGCUUGUGUUUGUCAGUCUGUUUGGUCUGUUUGUUUGAAGGACCGUGUGCUGUAGCUGGCAGUUGGAGGUGGAGCUACUAGGAAGGUUUGAAAGCUAGAAGCCUCUGGUAAUUGGCUGAGCCUUAACCAGUGGGCGGGGCAUUCACUCAGGCCAGGGCUUUAUAAAGCUGCGCACAAGCGACCAGGGAGCUUAGCGAACAGGAGCUGCUAACAGGGAGUUUUGCAAGGGAGUUCUCCAGGUGAAGGAGGAGCACAGACAGCAUCUGUGGGGUAGGGGUCCAGGCAGAGACAGAUGCAUUGUGGAGGUGAAUGCCUGGCUGCGAAGAUGGUGUCGCCAGGAGGGCUUUGGCUUCCUCGACCACGGGAUGCUACUUGAGGAAGGACUGCUAGGAACAGAUGGCGUUCACCUUUCGAAGAGAGGAAAGGCCUUAUUCGCGCACAGACUGGCUAACCUGGUAAGGAGGGCU
Gopherus flavomarginatus (Mexican gopher tortoise) is the source of this 987-nucleotide long non-coding RNA. RefSeq lists it as uncharacterized. The transcript is spliced from 3 exons. The record is from RefSeq and is a predicted model, not a curated record. NCBI's taxonomy places the organism in Eukaryota, Metazoa, Chordata, Testudines, Testudinidae.